UUGAAGACACAGGGAGAAGAUGGUCAUCUACAAACCAAGGAGAGAGGCCUCAGAAGAAAUCAUCUGGGUCCAUACCUUGGUCUGGAACUUCCAGCUUCCAGAACUCCCACCAAAUUCAAGAGGAGAAGACACCUGUCCGUGUGAAGGUGGCAAAGUCACAUUGUAAAGGAGCAUGUAGGACAGAUGAUAUUGUUGUACCUGUCUUCAGAAAUCCAAUCUGCCACAAAAUGAAUAGGGUAGUUUCCAGAAUCAGACGGUUUCUUGAUCUACAUUUGAAAACUGAAAGAAGAACAUUAGGUCUUAAUCUCCAUCAACAAAUUCCUUCCAGCCAAGAACUCCCAGACUGAGCCACGGGGAGGGAGGCAUUCUCGAGAACCGAUGGGAAGAUCAACCUCAUUUUAUUGGUUUGGAGGACAGCCGGACCUCUAAGGCGUCCGUGUGGUAUGAUUGGGAGGAUCACUCAUCCUCUAAAAAGCCAGUUGCCAUGUUAUGAGAACCUUCAAGCAAUCCUAUGGAAAAGCGCAAAUGGCAAGAAACUAAAGCCUUUUUCCAACAGUCAGAGAGAAACUGAGGCCUCAUGCCAAUAAUCAUGUAAGUGAACCAUCACAUGAGCAGAUCCUCCAGCCUUAGUCAAGCUUUCAGGUGACCACAGCCCUGGCCACCAUCAUGACUCUCAGUUCAGGAGAGGCUCUGAGCCCAAACUACCCAGCUAAGCUGUUUCUGAGUUCUUGACCCACAGAAACUGUGGGAUAAUAAAUAUUUACUAUAUUAAGCCACUAAGUGUUGGAGGUAGUUUGUUAUGUAGUGAUAAACAACUAACACACUGAGUUAGGGC
Herpailurus yagouaroundi (jaguarundi) is the source of this 835-nucleotide long non-coding RNA. RefSeq lists it as uncharacterized. The record is from RefSeq and is a predicted model, not a curated record. The transcript has 5 exons. NCBI's taxonomy places the organism in Eukaryota, Metazoa, Chordata, Mammalia, Carnivora, Felidae.